Nycticebus coucang (slow loris) is the source of this 107-nucleotide small nuclear RNA. The record is from RefSeq and is a predicted model, not a curated record. NCBI's taxonomy places the organism in Eukaryota, Metazoa, Chordata, Mammalia, Primates, Lorisidae.
GUGCUGGCUUCAGCUGCACAUAAACUAAAAUUGGAAAGAUAUAGAGAAGUUUAGCAUGGCCCCUGCACAAGAAUGACAUGCAAAUUGGUAAAGCAUUUGGUAUUAAA